Molossus molossus (Pallas's mastiff bat) is the source of this 110-nucleotide small nuclear RNA. NCBI's taxonomy places the organism in Eukaryota, Metazoa, Chordata, Mammalia, Chiroptera, Molossidae. The record is from RefSeq and is a predicted model, not a curated record.
GUGCUUGCUUCGGCAGUACAUAGAGUAAAAAAAUUGGAACAAUACAGAAAAGAUUAGCAUGGCCCCUGUGUGAGGAUGACAUACACAUUUGUGAAGCAUUCCAUAUAAAA